GAUGAACGCUGGCGGCGUGCCUAAUACAUGCAAGUCGAGCGAACGGACGAGAAGCUUGCUUCCCUGAUGUUAGCGGCGGACGGGUGAGUAACACGUGGAUAACCUACCUAUAAGACUGGGAUAACUUCGGGAAACCGGAGCUAAUACCGGAUGAUAUUUUGAACCGCAUGGUUCAAAAGUGAAAGACGGUCUUGCUGUCACUUAUAGAUGGAUCCGCGCUGCAUUAGCUAGUUGGUAAGGUAACGGCUUACCAAGGCAACGAUGCAUAGCCGACCUGAGAGGGUGAUCGGCCACACUGGAACUGAGACACGGUCCAGACUCCUACGGGAGGCAGCAGUAGGGAAUCUUCCGCAAUUGGCGAAAGCCUGACGGAGCAACGCCGCGUGAGUGAUGAAGGUCUUCGGAUCGUAAAACUCUGUUAUUAGGGAAGAACAUAUGUGUAAGUAACUGUGCACAUCUUGACGGUACCUAAUCAGAAAGCCACGGCUAACUACGUG
Molecule: ribosomal RNA, 497 nt
Filed under: uncultured bacterium
Lineage: Bacteria
Description: partial 16S ribosomal RNA
Rfam family: Bacterial small subunit ribosomal RNA
Source: RNAcentral